Non-coding RNA from Manis javanica (Malayan pangolin), 7379 nucleotides. Lineage: Eukaryota; Metazoa; Chordata; Mammalia; Pholidota; Manidae. The record is from RefSeq and is a predicted model, not a curated record.
GCAUCUUCCGUGCCCGGUGGGGAUGCUCUGAGGAAACGGACCCGCCUCCCCCAGAGGGCGCAUCCCAUAAACCGACCGCUACUGAGGACGCCGGGGAGCGUCGGAGGGGCGGAUGCCGCGGAGUGAGGAGGCGGCUGUAGGCGCGACCGGUGCCGGACGCCGGCUUGGGUGGGCGGGAGUGGCUGCCAGACCCCCACUUCCUCAGGUCUGUCACCCGCUCCCUCCCUCACCAUAGCAUUGACAUACUUGUGUGACUGUCUGAUGGUCUGUUGGUUCCUUGUGGUAACCCCAGAAGUUCCUGGGGGUAGCGGGCCCUCAAAUAAGUGUGCGAGAAAUGAAUGAAGCAUGGCCCGCCCUCCUCCUGGUGGGGCCGCGGCAGCAAGGCGAAGGAAGGAAGGUGGUGAACUCGGGGGUCGAGGACCCCGACUAAGCACAAUAAGCCCAUCACCCGUCGGGAGGAGCACCCCUGUUAGAACAGCUCAGGGAAGUUGGGCAUGUGGGGUGUGAAGUUGCUCUGCCAGACAGAAGCAGGAGUCCAGCGCAGAGGAGGUGUGAGCUGCCCACAGAGCCGUCUUCCCAGUGCCCCUCCCCAGAGGUUCUCUUCCUCUGGAAUAUUAAGCGGAAGAAUUCCUCCCCCAGCAGCCCCGGCGUCGAUCCCUGCAGCAGCUCUGGCCUGCCGGGGGUCUCCACUGGCCUUGCCACUGCCCACCUCUCAGAACUCCAGGACACAAUACUGACCUUGGCCUGGCCUCCAGGGAAAGCACGAAGGGAGACCACUCUCAGCCCCAUACCCGGGGAAGAGCCUCUCCUCACACCUAAAGACUCGCCAACACAGGACCCCCAUCAGAAUUUGAAGAUUUCACAAGAGCUUCAGGACACGGAGAACUUGAAUUUCAACAUCUGAUUUCAGGAUCUGUAACGGCGAAAGCACCAGGAGAUGGAAAUGGGCAGACUUCCUGUUAACUGCACUAAAAACUCAGCUCUUGUGGGAAUUGCCGCUCCAGAGACAUCCACUCCAGUGAAGUUUCAGAGGAUGCCAGCACACCUCCUCAGACUUGAAAGACAACUCACUACAUCUUGCUCUCACCUUACCCUUUAUUGGGAGUUUUUCCUGUUACCCAGGUAGUGGUGCCAGGGAUGAUAAAACACACACACAAAAUGACUCCCUGAGUAGUCAGGAAGAAUAGGUAGAACUUAUUAUUACACAAGUUCUACCUCGUGUAGAGAUGUUUUUAUAUUUGUGGUAAUCUCCAAAGCUUUUUUCUAAUAUUUAAUUAAUAUGCUCACACACGCACACACACACACACACACACAAAACUUUGACAUCUCUCAUUUGAAUGUCUGUGAUGGCCUAGACUUUCUCCUUUUUAUCCCAUGAUAAGUUGAGCUUUGUAAUAAGAGAAAAAGCCUUGGUGCUUAGUUCAAAGGGAUGCUUGGAAGACACCUCAGCAAAAGAUAAAGAACGGGAGAACUCUAAACUCCUAAAGUCCCCAUUCUCUCGUAUAUCCAGUUGUGACAACUAUUUCUGGUAUUGCAAACACAGCCAACAUUCCUAUACAUUUCUUGAUGCAAAUGUGUCAUUAAUAAUCGAUGUUGUGGACAUACGGGAGUUUUUGGCUUCUCAACAGCCAUUUCCCUUCCUAAUAAUAUUGCAGUUUUCCCUAGAUACAGUCUGACAGGGUUGGAAUCUGGGACCGUCUAUAAAUAAGAGGUGUGCAUGCCCUGAUACUAACUGGCCCAUGCAGAUUUUUCUUCCUGGAAUUCAAGUCAUGGACAAGAGAAAAGAACCCAGAAUGGUUGAUUCUGAAUCCUGCACGUGCAGUUCCCUGAUCGCUCUGGGAUCGUGAGGCUGCCGUUGUAGUGGCUGAGGCUGACUUCACCAUCUCUGAGGCUGACUUGGUCCUGCCUCUCUCAAGCCUUGUUCUCUGUUUCCUAACGAUUCUGUGAUGUUUCCAGUAACUUCUUUUCAUAAAUUAAGAAAAGCAGUUUGCUGAAAAAUAUGAACUAAUACAACUGCCAUCACCUCUUCUCACUUUCUAGUGAUCAGAAGAGCAACGUGAGCACUGGCACCAGCCCGUGGAUGAGGGACAAAAGCUUUGAAAAGAGAAUGUUUCUACAUGAACACAGAGGCCAAAGCGAAAGAACGCCUGGUAGGAGACCGCGAAGUAGCUAGCAAUUAGUUUCAUGUUUCUCCUCAGAAGACAUUUGAUUCUAAACUAUAAGCCUGGAUGAAUAGGCAUCAAAUUAUUAGCUGAUGACACUACAAGAAAUCUAAUUUUUUCUUGAUGCUUAUUUAUAUUUUGUAACUGCUAAUUUUUAACAUUUUAUGUAGUGUAUUCUUAAAUUCUAUGAGGGACAUUAGAGAGAUUCAAAGAAGUUAAGUUUUCUAUAGAUGAAGUAUAUUUCCCCUUACUCCAAAUAACUAAGCAGAUUGUUGCACCAAUAAGCAAAUACUCUGUCAUUGUCCUGAUCAUCCUUUGCAAAUUGCAACGAAUUGUGAGCUCCAGCAUCCCUGACAUCAUUCCCACAAUUCUUAGCCUCCAUAUGUGAUACCCCUUUGUCCUCUUUCUGCCUACUUGGGAUCUGUGUGACCUUUUGGCCUCAUCCGGGGAAAGGUCCACAGAGGAAAGGUUUGAUGGUCCCCAUCCCAGGGAUGCUGAAGGACUGAGUUCGAGUGCUCGAGCAGUCAGUUCUCACAGACGUUCCAGCUGCGCUGAGCGGAGCUAAUGGCCUGGAGCCAGCAUGGUGCCCUCACCUCUCUGGCAAGGCGUCUCCCUUUUAAAGCCAAGAAGUAGACAAUGAGAAGGGGGUUAUAGCAGAGUGUAAGCAACGGGCUUGAGAAUGAGUCUGAGAGAGUGCAGGGAGCAGGCUGGCAAUAACAACCCGUGAGGAGGAGGGCAGGAAAGAGGGAAGAGUCCAGCUUUGUGACGGAUGCCCCACCUAGGCCCUGAGGAGGGCUCUGGGCAGGGGAGUUCUAGAAGUCAUGUGAUAGGUCUCUGGGGGAAGGACAGAGUAAGGUCAAAGCCAGACAGAAAUCCAAGUGAGGUUAGUCAGUCAGUGUGAACUAGUUCACUAGAAAUGAAGAGAACUUAUAGCGUACCUUGGUUCUCAGGUGGGAUGAGACAAGUGAAGUGAUGCUAAUCAAGAAAGUAAAGAGAUAAAAGAACAGAGCUCCGGGUUGAGCAUCUGACAGCAUAUCAAGUAGACCCUGACUCAAGUCUGUGUGUCACCUUCCUUCUGUUCUGACCACAGUGGCGAUCACUGUCUCGUAUCUAUGCUCCAGUGACCAUAAACCUCUCACCACUUUUCCAUGGGGUGCCUCCCCUCGUCAGGUUACUUCCUCCACUUGACAUGUGGAAGGAGGCAGCAAAUGGAGCCUGAAGGGGAAAAGAGGAGAGACAGACAGGGCAGCUCCUAGCUGUGUGUUGGUCAUUAAUCAGGUGUGUUUUGGUGUGGCAUGAUCUUAACUCCUGUCAUUUUUUCCAGAUCUAUACCAUGAAGAACACAGAGUAAAUCAAUGGCCCCCCAAAACUGUCCACGAGUCAGAAUCAUCAGAGCUUGUCUCUAAGAGGGGACCAGGGAUAAUUUUAACUUUUCCAAGCCCUGCCUGCCCUACCCUAACCUCAGAGGUCUGGAGAGAAGCGUCUGAAGGAUGUUUUAACUGCAAACCUCAAUGAUUUCAGUGCCUUCAGACAACAGCUGAGGAGAGGAAGGAUCGCUGCCUAAAGUAGAGGUGGGGGGACAGGGAGUGGGCGUAGGAGAAAGGACAUCAGUUUGCAGGGAUGUCAGAUGGCACAGCACUGGCAAGCUUAUUUCUAAGAUGCUGACAGCCAGGGUGUGGUUCCACAGACUUAGAGUGUUUAUGAGAGACUCAAAAGCUGCUGGGGGUAUAGCUCAGGGGUAGAGCAUUUGACUGCAGAUCAAGAGGUCCCUGGUUCAAAUCCAGGUGCUCCCUGCUCUCUCUUUGCAUUUAUUCCCUGUAGCAGCUGUUCUCUCUUUGCAUUUAUUCCCUGUAGCAGCUGUUGCCACCCCAACACUGAAACCUCUGAGGAUGCAAGAGGGCAGAAACGGGCUGGGAGCCCGUGGUUUCUCCCAGGCCCCCGCACUCUACUAGCCAACCCCAUUGUGCUGGUCUGUCCUCCUAUUUCUUCACAGGAACGUUUGGCCUGGAACAUAAACCAUCUUCUUCUAUUUUCACAACCUCAAAUAGUGUGAUUCAGUGGGAAGCAAGCUCUGCAACCUGCUACGCCAAACACAUGAACCAAAUACUGUGGCCCUGCUGACUGAGGGCCCGGUCUAGACUUUGCAGAGUGAGUGAUGCACAGAGGCAGGAGACCGAUUAUUCCUCAUUCCAGGGAGGCACAGCUCGGACCCCAGGGCAGGGCUGGGCUCACCCAGUGUCCAGUGGGGGCUGCAGUGGCUUCUGCUGCAUGUGCUGCUCAGCUGUGGCCUUGGCUGUGAUUCUGGCCCAUGGGGUCCCCUUAAGCCGGGCUCUCCUGCCUUUCCUCCAGGGCCAUGGGCCCCUGACAGCCUGUCAGGGAUCUUCCAGUCUGUCUCCAUUAGACAAGGUCAGGUUCUGGGUUUGCACCUGUGUGUAAUGGUGAGCACAGAAAUUGGUACCAGGAAUGAUUUGCAAGCAAGAGAUCUUCUGAGAAAUGGGGGUAUAUGGGAAUUGGGGGUUAAUUGUCAGACCUAGUUGUACUGAAGCCAGUAAAAGUCUAGUUGGUCGGUCUGGAUGGGAAUCUAGCAGACCAGGAUUCACAGGGGCAACAAAAAGCUAAAUAAAUUUUGUCCUGUAGUCAGCUGAAAUGAAUGCCCACUGAGAUCAAGAAGCCUGGAGGGUAGCUGAUUCUAAUGUGUGGCAAUGACUGGAUCAGAGGUGCAGCCUCUUCAUCCAGUGCACGGAAGGGGACACAGGCCUCUGACGAAUGUGCUGUGAGAAUCUAAGUUAAUGCAUGACACAGCAGAACGCCGGAAGCAACCUUUGUAUUGCAAUUGCCAAACUCAGUUAAAUUCAGAGCCUGCCUGGUCUCUUGUAUGAAAGUUAGGACAUUUAUCAGGGAAGAACAGUCCUCUGAAAAUUGUAAAGGGGUUGAUGAGAGGAUGUGGAGGACCCGAACUCCGCCAGUCCCCGGGGAUUUCCUCUCCCAUCAGGACUGAUAGAAGAGCUUGCAGAGUGCGCAGUACCUCCAUCCCUCAGCCACCAAAUGCAGAGCCUGCCUACUCAUCGUAAUAACUGAAGACACCACCAGAAUCCUCGUGCUAUGGGUUUAAAAUCCCACGGCCUGUGGUUCCAUAAGGGGACAGUCGGGGGCCCUGCAGAGGAAAGGUAGAUAUGGUCUGACUUCCUAGGCAACGGCUCAGCCAGCAAAGGGAGAAGAUGGAAAAGAGGGCAAAAUCCAAAUCCUGCUCUUCCCCAGGCCCUGGCUGCAGCAGGGCAAGGCAUGCGUCUGUGAGUAUGGAACAGGCCCCAGGAGGAGCUCUAGGACUUGGGAACAUGAAGCCUUAGGUCAGGGCCUCUGACCUGCCGUCCCAGAUGCUGAGCAGCUCUCCCAUCGUGAGAUACACGUGGUCCUGUUGGCUCAACUACUUCUGUCUGAGGGACCUGUACCUUGUCACCUGUAAGGUUUCAACUUUUCCUUACUGAGUAUGUUGCCUUUGUUUAAAAAAAAAAGUUACUUAGGCAAAAUGAUUCUCUAGAAGAGUUCCAUGUUUGGGACUUUAUCCUACAGAAAUACCCAUGAGGGCGCAAUGACACGCACGUGUGGAGAGUCAAGGCAGUUUUUUCUCCUGGCGGUAAACUGGACACCACCCAAGUACCCACCAACAGGGAUUAGGUUACGCGCAUGGUGCGGUCACAGGAUGGGCAUGACGCGACGGUAGAGGGUGACAUCGGUCCAGAGCACUAGCGUGGAAAGACGCUUAAACGAUGCCAGUAAGCCACAGAGCACAGCGCAUGUCUGUAUGAGGAGAGCAGCUUCUUGGUCUGGGAGCAUAUCAAUCAAGACCGCCUGCCCAGCGCCCAAGGGAAGUUUGGAGGAACCAUGAAACAGUGGAAGCUGUUUGGAAGGAAACGACCUUGCUGGACAAUGGGAGGGAGAGCGUGGAGCUUUGCCGCUAGUACUUGCAGAGGAAGGUGGCCCACUAGGACCCGUCUCAGCUAACAUCUUGUAUGUUUCCACUGAGCCAGCUUAAUCCUGAGGACCUAAGUCAAGUGCUGGAGUGAGAAAGAGAAAACCAGGACUACCUAGCGGACAAUGGAUUCCUCUCUGUCCAUUUGAAGAGAUCCUAACUUCUUUUGGGACACAUGCUGUCCUUACACCUGAAGACGUCUGUCCAGUCUGUGCAUGUGUGCAUUAAACCCGGAGGUGGCGGUGGCAGCAGGUGGGGAAGUUAGUCUCCUGAAGAGGUUCUCCGGGAGGGACGGGGAGCCGCCCAGCUUCCUGCUCCCUCGGGUCUGGUUGCCCCGGAAGGCCUGCUAUCCCCUCACCAGGAUGCUCUUUCCACCUCUCUCCUUCCUGUGUGGAGUCCUGCUUUCUGGAUUCCAGAUGGGAUAUUUUCUCACAUCUCUCAGUAUAUAAAUUCAUUCCUUUGACGCUUUCCUCCACUCCCGGUCGAUAAACAAGGGAACCAGUGACCUGCGGUUCUGCCACUCAGGGAUGAUGACCAGUCAGACUUUCUCUCUUCAAGUUAUUUAGCAUAAUUGGCGCAGAGAUGGGAAGAAGAGCUGAAAGCAGAAAAGACCCACCGAGACGGCCCUACGGCACACGAAGUGUGUUGAAACGAUUCCUGCUGAACUACUGUAGGGGUGAGGGUGGAAGGACACUCAGGAGCCAGUGGGCAGGAAGGCAUCGGGGAGCCCCUGGCUGGGAAGGGGUGCCUUCGGUCUGAGCCCUAAAGCUGUGUCGAUGGUGUCAAGAACCCUGUCCCAAACUCCCUGGGCCUCCGGUACCUGACCACUCUGGAUCCCCAGGAAGGGUCUCCUGUUUUCUUCUUCCAUGAGCCCCUGCCUGUGAUGGAGCCCGGGAAGCCCCCCUCCUCUCACCCAGCGGCAUGUCAUCAGUGAGGCAGGCGGGUGGCUCAGGGGGGCCUCCCAGGCGGGCUCUCAGCGUGGCCAUGGUAAGGCUUCAUCUUUCUGCAAUGUUUGACUUGGAUCUGGAAAGCCACAGUUUGAAAAAAAAAAAUGAAAGUCAUUUCGCGACUAUCGAUUUUCCAGUCACAGGACCGUUCACACUCCCUGACCGUGGCUCCCGUUUCCACAUCAAGACAAACCGAAGGUGGCUGGCAGCCCCGGGAGCUUUGGUCCACGCCAGGCGAGCACCUCCCAGCGCCCACCUGGCCCAUGGCAGAGUCCUCUCUGGGGAUAUUUUGGUCCUGCU